GACGAACGCUGGCGGCGUGCUUAACACAUGCAAGUCGAACGAUGAAGCCUUCGGGUGGAUUAGUGGCGAACGGGUGAGUAACACGUGGGUGAUCUGCCCUGCACUUUGGGAUAAGCCUGGGAAACUGGGUCUAAUACCGAAUAUGAUCAUGCUCUUCAUGGGGUGGGGUGGAAAGCUUUUGCGGUGUGGGAUGGGCCCGCGGCCUAUCAGCUUGUUGGUGGGGUAAUGGCCUACCAAGGCGAUGACGGGUAGCCGGCCUGAGAGGGUGACCGGCAACGCUGGGACUGAGAUACGGCGCAGACUCCUACGGGAGGCAGCAGUGAGGAAUAUUGCACAAUGGGCGCAAGCCUGAUGCAGCGACGCCGCGUGAGGGAUGACGGCCUUCGGGUUGUAAACCUCUUUCAGCAGGGACGAAGCGCAAGUGACGGUACCUGCAGAAGAAGGACCGGCCAACUACGUGCCAGCAGCCGCAGUAA
RNAcentral lists this ribosomal RNA (476 nucleotides) under uncultured bacterium. Its description in RNAcentral is "partial 16S ribosomal RNA". It matches the Rfam family "Bacterial small subunit ribosomal RNA", at positions 28 to 523 of the family's 1533-position model. The record is from RNAcentral.